AUUUAAAUUCUGUUAGUGCUGUACUAAAAGAAUCGUUAAUAAUAAGUCCAUGCAGCGAAGGAACUGAAGAAUUGUGGGACCGUAUUUGGGCAGAAAAUGGGUGUGGUACGGAAACCCAGAAACGGCAUGAGUUCAACAUAAAACAUGGAUUAGAAUUUUAGCGAGGGUUCAAGUAAAAUCUGGAAGUGUUACAGGAUUGAAGAGUGAGCCUACAGUUGAAAAACACUGAAAGUGCAUUACCAUUAAGGUAUGAGCUGCUUCUCUUGCUAAAGAACAACUUGUCCUUUACGUUCAGAGUGUUGGUGAAGCUGGGUACUUAAAUGGCUCUAAAGAUGUUUCAAUUUGCUGGCAUUGCAGCGAUGAACAUCAUACAUGGACUCUUAAGGAAAGGAUUUACAGCAUACUGGGAACACAACUAUCAACAAUGCAACAUUCUAUGGGUGCUAUUUUAUCAUUCAAGAGCCUUAUACAAUGAUUUUUAUCUGCAAUUUGUAUGGCCUUUCCCAAGCUUCUGCCAUAAGUUGAAUCUAUAAGUCAUGUAAGUCACAUGAGCAACAAUUGAGAUGCUUAAUGGUGUUGUUUUUCUUUUCUCAGUAUAGGUUAAAGAGUUAAGACAAUCUAGCACAUUGUCUAAUGAGAAGUACCAUCUUGUGUUAAUAAAUCCAGUACAACAGCAAUCCUUUAUAGUUCUGUCACAGCUAGAAACCUCAAAUAAUUCUGCUUCUCUGUCUAAAGAACAACUUGUCCUUUACGUUCAGAGUGUUGGGGAAACUGGGUACUUAAAUGGCCCUAAAGAUGUUUUAAUUUUGCUGCCAUUGCAGAGAUGAACAUCAUACAUGGACUCUUUAGGUCUAAUCUACCAAAAAAAAUUUUAUCCAAUAGGAAAGGAUUUUCAUGUACUGGGAACACAACUAUCAACAAUGCAACAUUGUACAGGUGCUAGUUUAUCAUUCAAGAGCCUUAUACAAUGAUGUUAAUCUGCAAUUUGUAUGUCCUUCCCCAAGCUUCCACCAGAAGUUGAAUCUAUGAGUCAUGUAAGUUACAUGAUCAACAGUUGAUAUGUUUAACGAUGUUGUUUUUCUUUUCUCAAUAUAGGUUAAUAGUAACAUUGGAUCUGAAAAAAUUCUUGGUUGGGGCAAGACACUGAAUAAAUUGUAUUGAUUGGAUGGAUGACAUGACAUUUCUAUACUUAAUUCGGAUUCCCCAGACGGUAUUUGAUAUUAAAAAAAUUGAAGUGCAUAUCUGGGCUCCCUUCUUUUCUGAAGCCCCGUUUCCCCUUGACUCGUAAUAAGCCCGUAGGGGGUCAUGCCCCUACUGUACGGUAUAUAUAAAAACAACAUAUACCGAGGUUUGGAGGGCUCUGGCCGGAAAGGGGAC
Daphnia carinata is the source of this 1377-nucleotide long non-coding RNA. RefSeq lists it as uncharacterized. The transcript has 4 exons. NCBI's taxonomy places the organism in Eukaryota, Metazoa, Arthropoda, Branchiopoda, Diplostraca, Daphniidae. The record is from RefSeq and is a predicted model, not a curated record.